This 465-nucleotide ribosomal RNA is filed under the name uncultured Klebsiella sp. RNAcentral describes it as "bacterial SSU rRNA". It matches the Rfam family "Bacterial small subunit ribosomal RNA", at positions 338 to 795 of the family's 1533-position model. Lineage: Bacteria; Pseudomonadati; Pseudomonadota; Gammaproteobacteria; Enterobacterales; Enterobacteriaceae. The record is from RNAcentral.
CCUACGGGUGGCAGCAGUGGGGAAUAUUGCACAAUGGGCGCAAGCCUGAUGCAGCCAUGCCGCGUGUGUGAAGAAGGCCUUCGGGUUGUAAAGCACUUUCAGCGGGGAGGAAGGCGGUGAGGUUAAUAACCUCAUCGAUUGGCGUUACCCGCAGAAGAAGCACCGGCUAACUCCGUGCCAGCAGCCGCGGUAAUACGGAGGGUGCAAGCGUUAAUCGGAAUUACUGGGCGUAAAGCGCACGCAGGCGGUCUGUCAAGUCGGAUGUGAAAUCCCCGGGCUCAACCUGGGAACUGCAUCCGAAACUGGCAGGCUAGAGUCUUGUAGAGGGGGGUAGAAUUCCAGGUGUAGCGGUGAAAUGCGUAGAGAUCUGGAGGAAUACCGGUGGCGAAGGCGGCCCCCUGGACAAAGACUGACGCUCAGGUGCGAAAGCGUGGGGAGCAAACAGGAUUAGAUACCCUUGUAGUC